This 113-nucleotide small nuclear RNA is filed under the name Octodon degus (degu). Its description in RNAcentral is "U4 spliceosomal RNA (ENSODEG00000025727.1)". It matches the Rfam family "U4 spliceosomal RNA". Rfam says of the family: U4 small nuclear RNA (U4 snRNA) is a component of the major U2-dependent spliceosome. The structure of U4 snRNA from yeast and human has been reported. The record is from RNAcentral. Lineage: Eukaryota; Metazoa; Chordata; Mammalia; Rodentia; Octodontidae.
AGCUUUGUACAGUGGCAGUAAUGUAGCCAAAGAGGUUUAUCCAAGGCGUGAUUAUUGCUAAUUGAAAACUUUCCCACAUACCCCACCAUGAUGACUCGAAAUAUAAAAAUAGA